RNAcentral lists this ribosomal RNA (468 nucleotides) under uncultured bacterium. Its description in RNAcentral is "partial 16S ribosomal RNA". It matches the Rfam family "Bacterial small subunit ribosomal RNA", at positions 28 to 507 of the family's 1533-position model. The record is from RNAcentral.
GACGAACGCUGGCGGCGUGCCUAACACAUGCAAGUCGAACGGAAAGGCCCUGCUUUUGUGGGGUGCUCGAGUGGCGAACGGGUGAGUAGCACGUGAGUAACCUGCCCCUGACUUUGGGAUAACCUCAGGAAACUGGGGCUAUUACCGGAUAGGAGCUCCUGCUGCUUGGUGGGGGUUGGACAGUUUCGGUGGUUGGGGGUGGAAUCGCGGCUUCUCAGCUUGGUUGUGGGGUAGUGGCUUACCAAGGCUUUGACGGGUAGCCGGGCUGAGAGGGGGACCGGCCCAGUUAGGACUGAGAUACGGCCCAGACUCCUACGGGAGGCAGCGGUGGAGAAUAUUACACAGUGGGCGGGAGCCUGGUGCGACAACGCCACGUGCGGGAAAACAGCCUUCGGGUUGUAAACCGCUUUCGUCUGAGACGAGGCGUGAGUGACGGUAAUGGGUAAAGAAGCCCCGGCUAACUACGUG